CAAGAACAUUAGCAUGGCCCUUGAGCAAGGAUGAGACACAAAUUCGUGAAGCGUUCCAUAUUUUU
This 65-nucleotide small nuclear RNA is filed under the name Castor canadensis (American beaver). Lineage: Eukaryota; Metazoa; Chordata; Mammalia; Rodentia; Castoridae. The record is from RNAcentral.